Molecule: ribosomal RNA, 442 nt
Filed under: uncultured bacterium
Lineage: Bacteria
Description: partial 16S ribosomal RNA
Rfam family: Bacterial small subunit ribosomal RNA
Source: RNAcentral
CCUACGGGGGGCAGCAGUGGGGAAUAUUGGGCAAUGGGCGCAAGCCUGACCCAGCAACGCCGCGUGAAGGAAGAAGGCUUUCGGGUUGUAAACUUCUUUUAAGGGGGAAGAGCAGAAGACGGUACCCCUUGAAUAAGCCACGGCUAACUACGUGCCAGCAGCCGCGGUAAUACGUAGGUGGCAAGCGUUGUCCGGAUUUACUGGGUGUAAAGGGCGUGCAGCCGGAGAGACAAGUCAGAUGUGAAAUCCACGGGCUCAACCCGUGAACUGCAUUUGAAACUGUUUCCCUUGAGUGUCGGAGAGGUAAUCGGAAUUCCUUGUGUAGCGGUAAAAUGCGUAGAUAUAUGGAAGAACACCAGUGGCGAAGGCGGCCGCCUGGCCUGUUACUGACGCUGAGGCACGAAAGCGUGGGGAGCAAAUAGGAUUAGAUACCCUUGUAGUC